GCCCAGGUGGUGAAAUGGUAGACACGUAGGUUUCAGAAGCCUAUUCCGCAAGGUGUGAGGGUUCGAGUCCCUCCUUGGGCACCA
Molecule: transfer RNA, 84 nt
Filed under: Candidatus Altimarinota bacterium
Lineage: Bacteria; Candidatus Altimarinota
Description: tRNA-Leu
Rfam family: tRNA
About the family: Transfer RNA (tRNA) molecules are approximately 80 nucleotides in length. Their secondary structure includes four short double-helical elements and three loops (D, anti-codon, and T loops).
Source: RNAcentral